RNAcentral lists this ribosomal RNA (459 nucleotides) under Triticum aestivum (bread wheat). RNAcentral's name for it is "partial small subunit ribosomal RNA". The record is from RNAcentral. Lineage: Eukaryota; Viridiplantae; Streptophyta; Magnoliopsida; Poales; Poaceae.
AUGCAGUGUGGUGGGCCUGAUCCGGCGCCGCUUCACUUUGCAUCAAAACUGCGUGAUCUCGGCCACUCUCCUUCCCGGGGAUAUGAUCGAAGGCAGGAUAAAGUCAAUUGCAAGAGAAGACACAGGCUUUCAUCCAAGAGAAGAGACUUCAGGAUGCUUUGGUUUUCAUCUGGCUACUUGCUCGAGAUCGAUUGGCACUUCUGUGACUGCAACAGUCUUCUAAACCCCUGUACUGUUGGAAAACAGCCAAAGCCACAGCCACUAGCCUUGGAAGCUUGGGGUUUCAAAGGAAACUUUGGAGGAAAGAUUGGCACAGAAACUUCAAAAAGCCUUGGAAGCUUGGGGUUUCAAAGGAAACUUUGGAGGAAAGAUUGGCACAGAAACUUCAAAAAGCCUUGGAAGCUUGGGGUUUCAAAGGAAACUUUGGAGGAAAGAUUGGCACAGAAACUUCAAAUUUAA